UACGGAGGGGGUUAGCGUUGUUCGGAAUGACUGGGCGUAAAGCGCGCGUAGGCGGAUCGGAAAGUCGGGGGUGAAAUCCCGGGGCUCAACCCCGGAAUGGCCUUCGAAACUCCCGGUCUUGAGUUCGAGAGAGGUGAGUGGAAUUCCGAGUGUAGAGGUGAAAUUCGUAGAUAUUCGGAGGAACACCAGUGGCGAAGGCGGCUCUCUGGCUCGACACUGACGCUGAGGUGCGAAAGCGUGGGGAGCAAACAGG
RNAcentral lists this ribosomal RNA (253 nucleotides) under uncultured bacterium. RNAcentral describes it as "partial 16S ribosomal RNA". It matches the Rfam family "Bacterial small subunit ribosomal RNA", at positions 524 to 776 of the family's 1533-position model. The record is from RNAcentral.